CGUUGAGCGCCGUGUCUAUGGAACUAAUGGUUAUGUCGUCUUAUCCUGGUUAUCUCGUCGGUAGUUUGAUAGAUUUCGCUUUCUGUUCAGGAUUCUAUAGAAAUUUGGACGCAGCUGAUGUGACUUCGCAACUGCCCAAUGGAUUUCGGUAAUGUAUAACAAAGUAAAUGGCUUAAUUUUGGAUUGCUAGAGUCCUGGACGUUUACCUAGCUGGGUUCCUAAAAGACAACGCAUCCUGAAAUCCACACAUUUCCUAAUCUAGGAAGAGGGCCGGGCCUUCACUUCGGCAAGAGGACCCAGACUCCGAAAACUUGAUACUGAACUAUAUAUUAAAAGAGAUUUAACCUUAAAAAGAGACAUAGAUAUAUUUUUGUGUUUAAUGCUAGGUAUUAAAAUUAAUUCUUAAA
This is a long non-coding RNA of Macrobrachium nipponense, 407 nucleotides long. RefSeq lists it as uncharacterized. Lineage: Eukaryota; Metazoa; Arthropoda; Malacostraca; Decapoda; Palaemonidae. The transcript is spliced from 3 exons. The record is from RefSeq and is a predicted model, not a curated record.